UACGUAAGUGGCGAGCGUUAUCCGGAAUUACUGGGCGUAAAGCGCACGUAGGCGGCGAUUCAAGUCAGAGGUGAAAGCCCGGGGCUCAACCCCGGAACUGCCUUUGAAACUAGAUUGCUAGAAUCCUGGAGAGGUUAGUGGAAUUCCGAGUGUAGAGGUGAAAUUCGUAGAUAUUCGGAAGAACACCAGUGGCGAAGGCGACUAACUGGACAGGUAUUGACGCUGAGGUGCGAAAGCGUGGGGAGCAAACAGG
RNAcentral lists this ribosomal RNA (253 nucleotides) under uncultured bacterium. RNAcentral's name for it is "partial 16S ribosomal RNA". It matches the Rfam family "Bacterial small subunit ribosomal RNA", at positions 524 to 776 of the family's 1533-position model. The record is from RNAcentral.